AUUGAACGCUGGCGGCAUGCUUUACACAUGCAAGUCGAACGGUAACAGGGAGCUUGCUCCGCUGACGAGUGGCGAACGGGUGAGUAAUGCAUCGGAACGUGCCGUGUAAUGGGGGAUAACGUAGCGAAAGUUACGCUAAUACCGCAUACGCCCUGAGGGGGAAAGUGGGGGACCGCAAGGCCUCACGUUAUACGAGCGGCCGAUGUCGGAUUAGCUAGUUGGUGGGGUAAAGGCCUACCAAGGCGACGAUCCGUAGCGGGUCUGAGAGGAUGAUCCGCCACACUGGGACUGAGACACGGCCCAGACUCCUACGGGAGGCAGCAGUGGGGAAUUUUGGACAAUGGGGGGCAACCCUGAUCCAGCCAUGCCGCGUGAGUGAAGAAGGCCUCGGUUGUAAAGCUCUUUCAGGUGGAAAGAAAUACGCAUCUUUAAUACAGGGUGUGGAUGACGGUACCAUCAGAAGAAGACACCGGCUAACUACGUGCCAGCAG
RNAcentral lists this ribosomal RNA (491 nucleotides) under uncultured bacterium. RNAcentral describes it as "bacterial SSU rRNA". It matches the Rfam family "Bacterial small subunit ribosomal RNA", at positions 30 to 514 of the family's 1533-position model. The record is from RNAcentral.